Long non-coding RNA from Rhagoletis pomonella (apple maggot), 3341 nucleotides. RefSeq lists it as uncharacterized. The record is from RefSeq and is a predicted model, not a curated record. The transcript is spliced from 2 exons. Lineage: Eukaryota; Metazoa; Arthropoda; Insecta; Diptera; Tephritidae.
AAUUUUUUGCAGGGUAGUUAUUUGAUAUACAUUUUUAUUGGUGGCAUAAGGCAAAAGUAUUGGUGUUCUAGAUAUUUUUAGUUUAACCUAAAUAGCUUAACUAACGGCAGAGAUAUUUAACUUUGAAGAUGAGUACCUUCAAUGUGAUUUUUUUUUUUCUGACGAAUAAGAAUAAUUCCUACGCGAGGUGUAUGAUAGUGAUAUACGCCUUAGUAGGAACGGUCAAAAAACCUAAUCCAAUGUUCGUCUAUGGUAUUUGAAAGAGUUUUGUUUAUGACUUUUUAUUUUUUUGUUAACUUCGGCAGGCUCAUCGGAAGAGGGUCUCGAUCUCUGCGGUUUGACGAACGGCUUGACCGCGCAACAACUGCAUCAACAGCAACAAAAUUUACAACACAAAACGCCACCCUCGCGCAGCAACACUGCUCUACACGUUUGUUGGCAUCGUGGCGCAACCGUCGGUUUGGGCGAUCAUCUAAUAUCCGCCGAAAACCAACUGUCCGGAUAUUUGCUGCGUAAAUUCAAAAAUAGUUCCGGUUGGCAAAAAUUAUGGGUCGUCUUUACUUCGUUCUGCUUGUACUUCUACAAAAGCUAUCAGGACGAAUUUGCGCUGGCUAGUUUACCGUUAUUGGGAUACUCUGUUGGCCCGCCAGGUCACCAAGACGCGGUUCAAAAGGAAUUUGUUUUCAAAUUAUCAUUUAAGAAUCAUGUUUACUUCUUCCGUGCUGAAAGUGUGCACACUUAUAAUCGAUGGAUUGAGGUACUACGAAGUACCACUCAAACGCAAGACUUCAAAAACAUUAAUACAGCCACUGCUCACUGAAGUUAGUCAUGUUAAAUACAGAACAAUUGUAUUCGUCAAUACAUAGGAUUCGGCAAAUGCACAGGAAGCAGGAAUAUUUCCAACGAAACUGUGGAUGACAUCACACAUUCGACAUCUGAAGCAAUAAAUGAAAACCAAUAUUUCAACCAUAACCACGCUUUAAAAAAGUGCCUUUUAAGUAUUUUUUUACUACUCGUAAAUACACAAACACAUACACAUAUCCAUAUGUACGUAUUUAUUAUCUUUUAAGAAGCUACGGUAUACAUUGGAACUAGAGAAAUCCUUAAAUUAAAACUAUUUUUCGGAACUUUAUACAAAAUUUAUAUACAAUACAAAGUAGUAUGUGCAACAUAUGAAUUCUUUUAAAUAUUUAUAAAUAUAUACAUACGCCAUGAUGUCGUAGUGUCAGAAGAUUUCUCAUAUUUUAUUAAUUGCUUGUAUGUAUAUACAAACAUACAUAAACGAAAACAUUUCAAUUACUGCAUUUCUAUACGUAUUUUAAAUAUAAGCUAAAGAAAAUAUUUAACUGCACCCGGAUUCCAACAUUCGCUAUCGCUAAAACUCCAACGCCAAAAAGUGCUAAAUUAAUUUUAGCAAUUUUCAGCGAUUUUCGGGAUUCUAUCAUGAAAAUGCAACUCUAAAAAUCGCCAUUUUUGGCACAUUUUUUGACAAAUUUUAGCGAUGAACAAAAUGAAUCCGGAUAAAGCGAGUGAACUGUUUUUGACAGCUCAAACAGCUAAAAUGGCGAUUCCAGCGUUUUUUCCAUCGCUAAAAAUACUUCUUUUUCGCUUAAAAGCCUGCAAAUUUGACGACGACAAAUAUUCGGUGCUAAAAAAUAAAUCAACAAAAUACUCGAUUAAAUAAAAAUUGUUGUAAUUCAUAUUAAAAAUCGAAAACUGCAGCAGCAGAAGGGUGACAAAUGAGCUUGUUCAAUAUUUGGAAAAAUACAGGGAAUUCUCUCAUGACAGUUAUGGAAAAGAUUUUCUCGUAACUGAAAUCGUUAAGGUUCUUUUUUUUUAAAUUCGUGAAUGACACCGGGUGCAGGCAUUUGCUGGAGCAGUGGAACCAUCUUGCUUAGAAACUAAACGCGUGUGGAGGAGCCAUUGAAGACGGUGAAGGAUGGAAACAGAAAAAAGUUGGAUAGGAACGAAUUUUAAUUUCACGCGGUAAAUUCGAAAAUCGUGUACAAAGAAGUUUUCGUGCUCGUAUUUUCAGGCAAUGUAGUUCCAGAAUAACUUGCCGGGAAAUUGGCCGUAACCAUUUUGCAGUAACCACACCAUUGUUCAUAAAAUAUGACCAUAGUCCUUCCAAGAAACGAUUGGGUGUGUGGUUUAGUAAAUAAUGGCUAGCAACUUAAGAAGCGGCUUGCAUAGUGAAUUAAGUUUUAUAUUUAUUGCUGGUUUUCAUGAAUAGUAUUACAGCAGUUUUUUGUAUUUAUGGUUGCAACAAAAUGCUUAAUUAACCGACUUGUUAUCACUUUACAAACACUUUAUUUAAUUUGCAAUCCCAAACUCUUUGAUUGUACUUUAUUAGUUUUAUUAAUAAGUUAUAUGAAUUUAUAAUAAAUCGGUCAAAAUUAUUGAAAAGUUCUACUUACUCUUAUUUUCACUAUUAAAGGUACGACCGCACUGGGCGACGCGACACGACACUACACAGCGCGGAAAAUAUUCUCUGCAUGGAUUCAUAUGGAGCAUACCGCACUACGCUGCAGCGGAGCUACGCGACGCGACGCUGCGCGGCAAAGUUGACCAACUAGGCAAAAAUGUCGCGUCGCGUGGUGUCGCGCAGUUCCGGUGCCGCAUAGUGUGGUAUACCCAGCGGAGCGACAUAACAUUUCGUACUAUAUUUUUAACUUGAAAUUGAUUUCGAAUUGUAAGUGAAUAUUCAGAUGCAUUUCAUUCAAGAAGAAAAUUUUAUGUAAAGAAACAUAACAUUUGAGGAGAAUUCGCCAAGGAAAAUAAAAAUAAAAGGCAUUAACAUUACAUCAGCGUCACUGGCAUCCAUCUUGUUUGAAUGUUUUGACGCAAAUAAAUAAAAAAAAAAUGCAGCGAAGUGUCGCGCCGCUGCAGUUUCAGUGCGGUAUACCAAAAAGUGUCGCGCCGUGUCGCGUAGUGCCGCUGCAGUGUCGCGUCGCCCAGUGCGGUCGUACCUUAAAAUCAAAACAAAAUUUGACAGCUGCCGUUGCUGCACAGCGCUCCUGGCGGCCGAAUAAAGUACUAAAAUUUAGGCUAAGCAAAUUUUAGCGACAGGGUGGACAGAAUCGCGAUCUUUGGAGUUCGCCAAAAAUUAGGAUAAAAUUUUAUCUUAAGCGUUUUAGCAGAUUUUAGCAUUUUAGCGAUAACAAAAGUUGGAAUCCGGGUGCUGGUGUCCACGCAUUUUUAGCUGUUUGCUGUAUUAUUGUUUUAUGUACUAAAAUUAUAAUAAUUGCAUUUAUCUGUGUCUGUUUCAAUAGAAUCAGAAGGAUAAACUAAGAAACUUAAGUUUUCGAAAAGCAAAAAUAAAUUGUGUUUCUAAAAUGGAA